RNAcentral lists this ribosomal RNA (253 nucleotides) under uncultured bacterium. Its description in RNAcentral is "partial 16S ribosomal RNA". It matches the Rfam family "Bacterial small subunit ribosomal RNA", at positions 524 to 776 of the family's 1533-position model. The record is from RNAcentral.
UACGAAGGGGGCUAGCGUUGCUCGGAAUCACUGGGCGUAAAGCGCACGUAGGCGGCUUGUUAAGUCAGGGGUGAAAUCCUGGAGCUCAACUCCAGUACUGCCUUUGAUACUGGCGAGCUUGAGUCCGGGAGAGGUGAGUGGAACUGCGAGUGUAGAGGUGAAAUUCGUAGAUAUUCGCAAGAACACCAGUGGCGAAGGCGGCUCACUGGCCCGGUACUGACGCUGAGGUGCGAAAGCGUGGGGAGCAAACAGG